UAGGGAAUCUUCGGCAAUGGACGAAAGUCUGACCGAGCAACGCCGCGUGAGUGAAGAAGGUUUACGGAUCGUAAAACUCUGUUGUUAGAGAAGAACAAGGACGUUAGUAACUGAACGUCCCCUGACGGUAUCUAACCAGAAAGCCACGGCUAACUACGUGCCAGCAGCCGCGGUAAUACGUAGGUGGCAAGCGUUGUCCGGAUUUAUUGGGCGUAAAGCGAGCGCAGGCGGUUUCUUAAGUCUGAUGUGAAAGCCCCCGGCUCAACCGGAGAGGGUCAUUGGAAACUGGGAGACUUGAGUGCAGAAGAGGAGAGUGGAAUUCCAUGUGUAGCGGUGAAAUGCGUAGAUAUAUGGAGGAACACCAGUGGCGAAGGCGGCUCUCUGGUCUGUAACUGACGCAGAGGCUCGAAAGCGUGGGGAGCAAACAGG
RNAcentral lists this ribosomal RNA (429 nucleotides) under Gemmatimonadota bacterium. RNAcentral describes it as "Gemmatimonadetes bacterium partial 16S ribosomal RNA". It matches the Rfam family "Bacterial small subunit ribosomal RNA", at positions 355 to 776 of the family's 1533-position model. Lineage: Bacteria; Pseudomonadati; Gemmatimonadota. The record is from RNAcentral.